CUCAGGGUGAGAGAAGGCAAGGCGAGGAGAGGAGCUUGGGGACAUAGCAGUAAGGUUUAGAAGUGUGUGGACCUUAACUGCUUAUUGUAGGGUCCCUGGGCUGGAAUUCAGUAUAGAAGGUGGGCCUGGGUUCCCUUACCAGUCACUAGGGAAGUGGCACCUUCAAGAGCCAGUGAAUGGGAAGACUGCCUGGGAUGUUGGGUCCUGAAAGAUUUUGAUACACACACCCUUGAAAGGCUAAAACUACAGUGACCUGGCUGGAAGACCAAGCCAUGAAGCAGGGGCAGUCAAGUCCCAGGAGAGACAGAGUGACAGAAUUUCAGGAAGCAGUGUUGGCCUGGCAGAGCUAAUCCCCAGAUGCAGCCAGAAGGAGGCACCCUGGAUGUUUUGAUCCAUGGCAUGUUUUGCCUUUGAUUCCAUGACCACUGAACUUCUUUAGGAGCCACUUGUGCAAGACUUUUCUGAAGUCAAAAUAAAUUGUCAGCUGUUUCUCAUUUA
Chelonia mydas (Green sea turtle) is the source of this 498-nucleotide long non-coding RNA. RefSeq lists it as uncharacterized. NCBI's taxonomy places the organism in Eukaryota, Metazoa, Chordata, Testudines, Cheloniidae. The record is from RefSeq and is a predicted model, not a curated record. The transcript has 2 exons.